UGUGUCUGGUUAGGCCUCGGUCCAUGAUACAAUUAAACAAGAGACAGAGAGAGAGAGCGAGAGAGAGAGAGGAGCGAGAGAGAAGGAGAGAUUGAGGAUGGAGGAGGGAGAAUGGAACAACAGCUCCAGGAGCUCCAUGAAGCGAUUGUUGAAGGGGAAGAUAAAUUAGAAGCAUUCAGAGGAAUACUGAAAGAAGAUCCAAAGAUUCUUGAUAGGAUUAAGGUGGGUUGUUUCAUUCACACUCCUCUACACGUUGCAGCAUACCACGGGCGAUUAAAAUUUGUCGAAGCAAUUCUAGAGGAAAGUCCGGGACUUGUUGAAGUGCUGGGUUCGCGACGAUGGUCUCCUCUUCACUUGGCAUCUGCUCAAGGCCAUCUUGACAUUGUACAAGCACUCGUAUCGAAAAAUCGUGACAUGUGCACAUCUCUUGAUGGAGAUGCUAGAACCCCGCUCCAUCUUGCAGCCAUGAAAGGUAAGAAGGAGGUCUUGGACAAGUUGUUUGAAGAAAGCCUGUAUACCCCUCAUGAAUUGAUGAAUGCCAAGGAUGUUGCUGGUAAUACCAUAUUGCAUCUAAGCUGUCAGGAAUAAAGAAUUCGAGGAAUCACACGGGAGGAAUGGAAAUAUCAUUACUAAUAAUGAGUUUAUUAGCAAUAAGUUUUCUGAGAGGGUAAUUUAUAUAUAAAUUGGGUUAAGCUGGUUAAUGGGCCGUUGUGGGCCACAGUAAGAAGGGCGGAGUAAAAAAAGCCUUGGCGUUAGCCCGGUCCCCAAAAAGGCAUUGUUGUUAUCCCAGUCCAAGAGAGUGUUAUGGAUAGUCCGGUCACCACACUCAGAGUUAGCUCGGUCGUGGCAUAAUGCAGUUAGCUCGGUAAGACUUAGCUAUUCGUUAGCACAGCCUAAGCACACUAUGGAUUAGUAUGGUUUGUACAGAAGAAACCAAGGUACACGUAGUGAAAGGAAGAACCGAGCUAGGUAGAGCUCGGUCUGUUAUGCGGCUUUAGCAUGGCCAUGUUAUCUCGGUCGUGUUGACAUCCAAACUAGGUAAAACCAUCUCAGUUGGUUUAAGCAGUGGGGGUGUUAGAGGAUAAGCAUUAUCUUUCAGGAAUGUGAUUCAUAGGAGGACACUACAUGGAGGAGUAAGAGUCCUACUGGGAUUGUGUCACGCGGAACCUAUAAAAGCU
Non-coding RNA from Camellia sinensis, 1178 nucleotides. The record is from RefSeq and is a predicted model, not a curated record. Lineage: Eukaryota; Viridiplantae; Streptophyta; Magnoliopsida; Ericales; Theaceae.